GACGAACGCUGGCGGCGUGCUUAACACAUGCGAGUCGAACGGAAAGGCCCUGCUUUUGUGGGGUGCUCGAGUGGCGAACGGGUGAGUAACACGUGAGUAACCUGCCCUUGACUUUGGGAUAACUUCAGGAAACUGGGGCUAAUACCGGAUAGGAGCUCCUGCUGCAUGGUGGGGGUUGGAAAGUUUCGGCGGUUGGGGAUGGACUCGCGGCUUAUCAGCUUGUUGGUGGGGUAGUGGCUUACCAAGGCUUUGACGGGUAGCCGGCCUGGGAGGGUGACCGGGCACCUUGGGCCUGAGGUACGGACCAGAAUCCUACCGGAGGCAGUAGGGGGGAAUAUUGCACAAUGGGCGGAAGCCUGAUGCAGCAACGCCGCGUGCGGGAUGACGGCCUUCGGGUUGUAAACCGCUUUCGCCGGUGACGAAGCGUGAGUGACGGUAAUGGGUAAAGAAGCACCGGCUAACUACGUG
Molecule: ribosomal RNA, 468 nt
Filed under: uncultured bacterium
Lineage: Bacteria
Description: partial 16S ribosomal RNA
Rfam family: Bacterial small subunit ribosomal RNA
Source: RNAcentral